RNAcentral lists this long non-coding RNA (1380 nucleotides) under Salvia miltiorrhiza (redroot sage). RNAcentral's name for it is "long non-coding RNA (SMIL_LNC000518)". The record is from RNAcentral. Lineage: Eukaryota; Viridiplantae; Streptophyta; Magnoliopsida; Lamiales; Lamiaceae.
GGACCUAGGAGACCUCUAAUACUCAGCUGCUACUACUACUAAUGCGAGUAGACUUUGGGUUGUCUAGUUAUUGCAGUCGGUUUUGGUUGCUAAAAAAACACCAGUCUUCUCAUGAAAAAUUUAUAGUUUCUCAUGUUGUGGUUAUUAUGCUGAGCAGGGGAGUCAUCACAAAGCAGGCGUCAUGCGGUCGAGAAUUAAAAGAUGGCAUGCAAUUAAUUAAUCACUCUUACUCUCACUCUGUUUUACCCUUGCAUCUGCUAUGUAUGCUUUCAACAUUUCUAAUGUCCGCGUUUCUUGGCUUGGCUAUUCCCUCUUCCAAACAUCAAAAACAUGGUGAUUAACAUUUACUUGGAUAAUUGAGCAUCCUUUCACUCGCAUACCAAUACCAAAAACUGGAUUAAACAAAACAAUAAUGUUACAUGCACCAAAAGAUAUCCCCAUUUUCUAUAUGAAUUUGUGAAUCAAAUAGUAUGUAAAUCCGCAGUCUGUCCGCUACCAUCAACAAUGGUGUCUUAAGUCAUUCAAGUCUUCAAGUUGUUGCACAAUGGCAGUCAUAGUUCCAGAGGUAAAUAUCCACUGUCUUUGGCAUAAUNGCAUAACAAUGUGUAUGGAAUAUCAUUUGUCUCCGUUUGAGGUGUUCACAGAUUCAUGCCUUGCUACGCGCAUCAUUUGUCUCCGUUUGAGGUGUUCACAGAUUCAUGCCUUGCUACGCGCCUCUUAACUAAUCCGGAUGAGGACGAGGAUCUUAUCCCGGAUGAUAUUCGGGUGUUUUUUGAGGCUAUGAUAUCACACCUCCUUAUUGGGGUUUUCCACUCUUAUAGAGACGCCAACUUGGCUGCUCAUAGUUUGGCUCGUUUUAGUAAUAGUUGUGCGCAGCCUCACCUUUGGGUGGACAUUCCGCAAUGGUUGCUUGAUAUUGUAAGUGAAGACAUUGCUACUUAUUUUUACCCUUGCAGGACAUUCUAGGUCGUUUGGCUUGUAUGUACCCAAUCUACAACAUAAAAAGUGAUUAUAUUAUUAACAUUUACUUGUUAUUGAGCAUCCUUUUCACUCGCAUACCAAUACCAAAAACUGGGUUAAACAAAACAAUAAUGUUACAUGCACCAAAAGAUAUCCCCAUUUUCUAUAUGAAUUUGUGAAUCAAAUAGAAUGUAAAUCCGCAGUCUGUCCGCCAUCUUCAACAAUGGUGUCUUAAGUCAUUCAAGUCUUCAAGUUGUUGUCAUAGUUCCAGAGGUAAAUAUCCACUGUCUUUGGCAUAAUAUAGUGCUACUGCUAGUAAAAUGAAUAACAAAAUGAUCCACAAGCCUGCAAAUCAUAACAAGUGAAGUAAGUAAAAACAAUCAAAUAUCUAGAAACUGAUAAGUAGAAUCUCUCAACUUU